Molecule: ribosomal RNA, 491 nt
Filed under: uncultured bacterium
Lineage: Bacteria
Description: partial 16S ribosomal RNA
Rfam family: Bacterial small subunit ribosomal RNA
Source: RNAcentral
AGUGAACGCUGGCGGUAGGCCUAACACAUGCAAGUCGAACGGCAGCACAGUAAGAGCUUGCUCUUACGGGUGGCGAGUGGCGGACGGGUGAGGAAUACAUCGGAAUCUACUUUUUCGUGGGGGAUAACGUAGGGAAACUUACGCUAAUACCGCAUACGACCUACGGGUGAAAGCAGGGGAUCUUCGGACCUUGCGCGAUUGAAUGAGCCGAUGUCGGAUUAGCUAGUUGGCGGGGUAAAGGCCCACCAAGGCGACGAUCCGUAGCUGGUCUGAGAGGAUGAUCAGCCAAAAUGGAACUGGGAAACGGUCCAAACCCCUAGGGGAGGCAGGGGGGGGGAAUAUUGGAAAAGGGGGGAAAGCCUGAUCCAGCCAUACCGGGUGGGUGAAGAAGGCCUUCGGGUUGUAAAGCCCUUUUGUUGGGAAAAAAAAGCAGCAGGUUAAAACCCCGCUGUUCUGACGGUACCCAAAGAAUAAGCACCGGCUAACUUCGU